CCUGGUGGUUAUGGCGGGGUGGCUGCACCCGUUCCCAUUCCGAACACGGCCGUGAAACGCCCCUGCGCCCAUGGUACUUCGUCUUAAGACG
RNAcentral lists this ribosomal RNA (91 nucleotides) under Rhizobium anhuiense. The record is from RNAcentral. Lineage: Bacteria; Pseudomonadati; Pseudomonadota; Alphaproteobacteria; Hyphomicrobiales; Rhizobiaceae.